This is a long non-coding RNA of Manis pentadactyla (Chinese pangolin), 1634 nucleotides long. RefSeq lists it as uncharacterized. The record is from RefSeq and is a predicted model, not a curated record. Lineage: Eukaryota; Metazoa; Chordata; Mammalia; Pholidota; Manidae. The transcript is spliced from 3 exons.
CCCAACUCCAGCCUUUCCUUCCAACAGCCUCUGUUCUCACCCAGGCCAGGGUGCUGGGGCAGAGCUCUCCCCUUAUAAAUGUGAGAACUUACAAACAUAUUGAUGAGAAUGAACAUGAAAACAAUCAGUAGACCAUUGUAAAUGCAACCUGCACAUUACAAGUAAGCAUGGAAAAGCAGCUAAAUUUGCAGAGAUUUAAUUUCAGGUCUAGUUCUAUUUAGCUCACCUCAUCAAGCUUACUUCAGAACCCAAUUUUAAUAAACUCUUACAGGAGUCCUAGCCCCAGGAUCCCUGCAGGACCCACUCCUCCCCCAGCCUAGGGUCCCCUGUGCCUAGGGUUCUCCAGGUGACAGUCCUAUGUUUUGCCUGCCUCAUCUCAAGAGUACAAGCCAGGGUAUCUCUCUCACCAAGGAGCUGCUGGUGAUUCAGGCCCUUCUCUGGGUUUACUCAGGAAAAGACCUUGUUCCUUGACCUUCCAUACUUGGUGAAAGAGCUAAACCCAAGCCAAGCAUAUAGCAGUCCUCUCCAGAGAACUACGGAAAAUUCAUUUGACCUCCCAGAGCCAGAGUUUCCUUCCAGGGAAACAGGGAUUCAGCUGCCUGCCUGCCUUCCUCCCUGUCCUGCUGUGAGGCUCAGAGCCUGCUGAAGAGGAAGUACAGCCCUGUGUACAGAGAGAUGGGGGCUCUGCUCGCUCACCCACUCUCUGCCAGGAUGCCUGCUUCCCUUUUCUCUGUGUUCACCCACGUCCUGGAGGCUCCACUGUGAUCACAGUUAAUUAUGGAUGGAUCAGACAAGGAGCAGCCUCUAGAGACCCCUGAAAACAAAGUGUGCAGUCAGCAUGUCAACCAACUGAGGAAGAAGGAAACUAACUGGGAGGGGGCAAGAAGAGAACUUUGGCAUCUAAUAUAAUAUGAGGGUACUUGUCAUAAGAAAGAAACAAAUCCUAACAUUUUCAAUAACAUGGAUGGAGCUGGAGGACAUUAUGCUCAGUGAAAUAAGUCAGGCGGAGAAAGGCAAGUGCCAAAUGACUUCCCUCAUUUGUGGAGUAUAACAAUGAAGCAAAACUGAAGGAACAAAAUAGCAGCAGACUCAGAGACUCCAAGAAGGAACUAGUGGUUACCAAAGGGGAGGGGUGGAAAGGGUGGGUGGGGAGGGAGGGAGAAGGGGACUGAGGGGUAUUAUGUUUAGUACACAUGGUGUGGGGGGUCACAGGGAGAACAGUGUAGCACAGAGAAGGGACAUAGUGGAUCUCUGGCAACUUGCUGCACUGAUGGACAGUGACUCCAUUGGGGUAUGGGUGGAGACUUGAUAAUAUGGGUAAAUGUAGUAACCACAUUGUUUUUUCAUGUGAAACCUUCAUAAGAGUGUAUAUCAAUAAUACCUUAAUAAAAAAUUUUUAAAAAUACAUAUAUAUAUAUGAGGGCACUUGAAUGGCCCAUUGACCCAAAAGCAUCUCCCGCUUUAUAAGAAAUCUCCAACAUGAGAAUCACUAAGUCAGGGACGGUGUAUCUGGAACUAUACAGGAAACUCAGCAAGGAGUCCAGAGUUCCUUUUGCUUUCUUCUCUAUUUAGCCUGGAAACAUUGUUAAAUUAGUUUGUUGACAUUUUGGGGCUGACAUAGUGAGAUGCAAAGU